Long non-coding RNA from Tachysurus fulvidraco (yellow catfish), 1511 nucleotides. RefSeq lists it as uncharacterized. The record is from RefSeq and is a predicted model, not a curated record. NCBI's taxonomy places the organism in Eukaryota, Metazoa, Chordata, Actinopteri, Siluriformes, Bagridae. The transcript is spliced from 6 exons.
AAGAAGAAGAAGAAGAUGCACGAAGGCGGCGUUUUUUUUUUGUUUUGUUUUGUUUUUUCCCGGGAAUUAUUGUAUAAAUUGUAUUAUUGUUUUGUGAGCCAUGGGACCUGUAGCACCCAGAAAUUCGAAUUCACAAAACAGAACAAAGAGGACACAUGGGGACAUUUACUUCAGACAUACAGAAAAUAAGAAGCAAAGCCUAUUAUCAUGCGCUCGCACAUUAAUUGGAUGGAGAUCACCGAGCCUCCAAAACUGCUGGUGAAACUUGAAUUUUCACGCCCUCUUCAUAAACCAGGCAACAAAUUUACUCUCUGGAGUCAACAGUAAUCUGUGUGUGUUAUUCAGAUUCUGAUCCAAAAAGGUACUACAGGGCAUCUCUUUCCUGCAGAAAAAGAAAUUCAAAGAGAAUUCUGAUUAACACGUCUUAAAACAUGGCACGAGCUUGUAUCCCAUGUAGUCAUGUCUUUUUAUCCAGAAGGUCGUGGUGAUGGUAUAACAUUUCCUACAACAGUGAAAUGUCAGGCAUACUUUAGAGGCUCAAAUGGUUACAACAAAAGAGGUCCAUGCUUCAUGUCACCAGCUGUUUCAUCUAAAAGACCCUGGUAAAGGGGAUCAUCCCUAUGGGUACUGUGCUGAGACAGAGUGCUUGAGCAAACUACUAUUCCAGGCAUAGAAGACGAAACAGUGAUGGAAAAUCACACUAAGGAAAACUUACAGAAUCUCAGACCUUUAACAACAGCACGCUUGAUAGAGCAGCUUCAGAAGGCUGGCAUUCCAAUGAAUGACGAGAACAUUCUCUUCUACCGCCCAAUGCAGUGACUUUUAGCCGUGUGAAGAUGUCAGCUGUGAUCUUUGUGCCCUGUCCGGUACCUUUGGGCUGUCAAAAAAGGACGUGUGGCGGCUCAACUGCACCGGUUCACCCGGGAGCAAAACCUGCAUAAAGCAGAGAAACACAUCAAGCAAGGUGUGAAUGUGGACUGCGUGAAUCAUCUGGGCCAGACAUGUCUUUUCUGCUCGUCCCUGCUAGGCUUCACCGAUGUGGUCGAGCUGCUUCUUCAGCAUGGAGCUGAUCCCAAUCAGAAAGAGACAAGAGGCAAAGAUGACAAAAUCCACAUCAAUGGGAUGGCUGUUGAGCACUGUUGAGUUUCAAGUUCCUGGGGAUCCACAUCUCGGAGGACCUGUCCUGGUCUACCAACACCUCCAGCCUGGUCAAGAAGGCUCACCAGCACCUCUUUUUCCUGAGGACACUACCAUUGUAGUGUCCUCAGGAAAUCUCUAUUACCAUUGUAUAUAUCCACCUGAUUUCUGCUUAUAGUAAUAUCCAUAUAUUAUGUUCAUAGUAAAUAUCCUCCUGUAUAUUUCUGUUUAUAGUUAUAGCCAUAUAUUUUGUUUAUAGCACAUAUCCUUCUGUAUAUUUCUGUUUAUAGUUAUCGCCAUCUGUAUAUUAUGUUAAUAGUACAUAUACAUCUGUAAAUUACUUCUAUAAUUCCCAUUUUAUUUAACUUAUUUAA